Long non-coding RNA from Wyeomyia smithii (pitcher-plant mosquito), 621 nucleotides. RefSeq lists it as uncharacterized. Lineage: Eukaryota; Metazoa; Arthropoda; Insecta; Diptera; Culicidae. The record is from RefSeq and is a predicted model, not a curated record. The transcript is spliced from 2 exons.
UUUUAAUUCGAUCGCUACGUCACUUAUGACAAUCACGUAAGUGUUAUAGAUGCGUUAUGUCGUAUUUCGUCACACACGUCCACGGAUUUCUUCGUCGGUAAAUCUAGCUGCAACAAACGGAAGGAAAAGAAAACAGGCUAUCCAAUCGAAGCAACCAAUUUCACUGCACUGCACGGAGUUGAAGCGAAGCAGAUGAUGAUGAUGAUGAUACCGUGCUGGAUCGAAAUCCGUACACCUAAGCACAUGAUAAUCUUCGACGGUGAAUAUAAAAUCAAUAAAUCACAUAUUGCUUCAAACUGACAUGUUUACUUAGAGGUCUACUUAUAUUUUAUCACUAUUUUCAAGCAAAAUGAUCAAAAUCAGAAGAAUCGGAAGGAUCAUGUUUAAACAGAACAUGUUUUGAAUCGAAAUCCGUACACAGUUUUUUGUCUGAAUCAAAACCCGUACACUUUUGAAUCGAAAUCCGCACACACGCGAUAUAAACUGGAUCAAAGUCCAUACAACAAUAAAUCGAAAUCCGUAUAGAUAUAGAAGUACAAAAAUGAACAUCUUUUAUUUAUAAUUUAUCUUUAAAUUUACGAAUAAAUAUAUUUUGAGGAUCAAUUGGUUCCUAAAGUUUCA